RNAcentral lists this ribosomal RNA (511 nucleotides) under uncultured bacterium. RNAcentral's name for it is "bacterial SSU rRNA". It matches the Rfam family "Bacterial small subunit ribosomal RNA", at positions 1006 to 1524 of the family's 1533-position model. The record is from RNAcentral.
AUAGGCGAAGUCCUUCGGGACAUCCAGACAGGUGGUGCAUGGUUGUCGUCAGCUCGUGUCGUGAGAUGUUGGGUUAAGUCCCGCAACGAGCGCAACCCUUGUAUUCAGUUGCUACGCAAGAGCACUCUGGAUAGACUGCCGUUGACAAAACGGAGGAAGGUGGGGAUGACGUCAAAUCAUCAUGCCCCUUACGACCUGGGCCACACACGUACUACAAUGGCGCACAACAGAGGGAAGCAAGACAGCGAUGUGGAGCAAACCCCUAAAAUGCGUCCCAGUUCAGAUUGCAGGCUGCAACCCGCCUGCAUGAAGUCGGAAUUGCUAGUAAUCGCGGAUCAGCAUGCCGCGGUGAAUACGUUCCCGGGCCUUGUACACACCGCCCGUCACACCAUGGGAGCCGGUAACACCCGAAGUCAGUAGCCUGACCGCAAGGAGGGCGCUGCCGAAGGUGGGAUUGGUGACUGGGGUGAAGUCGUAACAAGGUAGCCGUAUCGGAAGGUGCGGUUGGAUC